CUGGUAAGGAGUAGUAGCUUAGUCAUGCACUUGUGGAAGAACUAAACUCAUUAAAGUUUGAUUUUUUCUUUCUUUCUGAUAGUUGUAGAGUCCUGUGUCUAGACUAGUUUUGUCGUACCUUGACUAUUCCAUUGGAACCUGCCACCUCACACUAGUAUAGGUAUCUAAAACUCCUCUUACCAACUUUGAUGAAUAGGAAAAAAUACCUUCUAUUAGGAUCUAAAUAUGGUCUUCACUUUAUUGAGCAAAUUUUGAAAUUUCAUUUAUUUUAUGUGUUAGAUAAUGUUUAAGAUCUUCUCAGACAACAUGGAAGCAAAAGGCUCAUAGCUUGUUUUCGAGUAUCUUGAAAAUGGUGUCUUUUGGACAAUUUUUUAUAGUUGUUGAGCUGCGAAAACAUAAGCGUUGCUUCCAGUUCUUUAUGGUGCCUUCUUCUCCUCAUUCCUAGUGUAAGGUGUCAAUAUCUGCAUUUGUUGUUCAGCUAAUAGUAUUGAACCUUUCUGUAAGAAGACCCAUGAAGCUUUCUCAGUGGACUCAUCUCAUACUACCCCCAAAAAGUUAGUGUUGUACUACACAAAAAUCUCUGCAAUCUUAGUUUAUCUACCUGUUUCUGCAUUUGAUCAUUAUUUAGCUCAGUUACUAUCUGAUGUAGUGUUGUUGUUGCUGUCUAAUGUUAUCUUGAAUAUGGUUCAAGAAAUCUUGGUUGUUGGUGGUCUCAUUUUCUUGAUGUUGGUUAUAGUUGUGUAAGCUGUGAGCCAUACCUCCUAUGUUACAACCUUUAUAGUUAUGGGACCCCAUUGCUGCAUCACCAAAGAAGUCUCCUAGUUUUGGUGAUGAAGUUACCAUUCCUUCAAAAUAAAGACAAAAAAUAUUCAAUAAAUAAGUAAAAAAAGAUCCUCAUUUAAAGAAGCUAAAAACAAAACAAGUUGUGAGCAGAAACCUUAUGCUUGUAGUGACAUGUUGAAGCCUUGCAUAAUGCAUAAUUAACCAUCAGACUUGAGAGGCAUAGCAGAUAAAGAAGAGUAAAGGCUAGCAUUGUCACCUUCAAAGUACAUGCCUGGAUAGUUGAGAUGAGUUGGAGAAAAUCUAAUGGGAACUGAACUUUGAACAUCACUUGAACCAGGUUGAGUAUUGUGAUGUUAGUCAGGAAGAGACCUUUUUUAAAGAGAACUGAACUGAGAACAUCAAAUUCCAUCUUGUAUCUGUUGGAAUUAAUGAAUUCGAACCAUUCUUUGAGAGCAUUGGUCCGAAACCUUGUCUAGUGGUAAUUAGGUAAUGUAUAUUAUUGGGAGAAGGGAAAACCUUGUAUUUAAGGUGUAAACAAAGUAGAAAGACUCAUUUUAGGCUAUUGUACCCUCAACAAUUUCUCUAAAUUGAGAAGAAUUCUUAUUAUACUCCUGUUUUCCCCUGUUAUAGUAGUUUAUAGCCAAAGGCGGAUGCAGAGUGUGGAUAUGAGGGUCAUAUGAAUCAAGUAUUCUUCACUCGAAGUAUCCACUUAAAUUGGACCAACAAGUGGAUAUGAACCCAAAACUUUAAAAUGUAAUGAGUGUUCAAUGCUAAGAACAUUAAAUUUUGAAUCGAUAAAGCUUAAAUCUUGCUUAGCCUUGUGAAUCAAAUCUGCAAUAGAGUUGGCAUUGAUGAAUCGAUAACUUUAUAUGUGAAACUUGCAGUAUCUUUUCUCCGGAUAGUAUUUGUGUAUUUACCAAAUGGAACUAUGAAGUAUGGAUACUAAUUGAUGAUUAUCUACUUUAUUCUGCAGGUUACACAAAUCGUAGUGUCUGUCAAUUUCAAAUUGGCUGAUCGGUGGACAUGAUCUAUGGUCAAGUAAUAUAAUUAUGGAAAAAAAAACUAGGAACUAUAUUUCUUUUUCUCUUAGGAAAGUAUUUAAUUAUAUUGAAAUUUCUACCUCUGACCAAAAGUUGUAUUUUAUUGGCUAUCCAUUUUAUUGCUACUGUUGUGCUAAAAAAUGAUGUGUUCUCACAAGAUAAUCAAAAAAAGCUGCACAUCAAGUUAAUGAAAAUCUAAAGAAACGUGUAAUGAUAACAAAUGGAAUCAUGUCAAUUGUUACUCUAGUUUAGUUUCUUACUGGUGAUGUCUUGAAACUGAUUCAUGCUCAAGUGGAAUGAACAACACCUGAUUACUAUUUCUCGGACUAUUAACCAGCUAAAUAGUUUUUAUUGUACUUACCCUUUUUGGCGACUCACCGAUAUUGCUGAUAUGACAGUUCACUUCAAAAGGGUGUGGGCAGGUACUCGUUGUUUCUGAAUUUACGGGGAGUUAUAUGGAGAGUAGGUUUUUGGUCAUUCGGCUUUCUUCAUUUGUCUGAAAGGCAUAAGAAGACAACUAAUGAGCCUUCAAAGGCUCCUCCUCGUGCUGAUGUUGUGAAAAUCUUGAAAAAUGGGAUAGUCGUGAACCUUCUGAGAAUGGGUGCUGCUGUGCUUGGGAUGCACUAGGUCAGAUCUGUACUCGCCGAAGUAAAGGAAAGGUUUCAAUCACAUUCGAUGAAGUCAUACAGGUCUCAAUUUUAGAGAAAGUUAUGGGGAUUCCUUUGAUAUGCUGGAGAUUGCGCUAGUGGCCACUGGAAGUUGCACUCUUUAAAUAGUUUCAAGCACAAGUCCGAUAUAACUGAUUAUUGCUCCCAGAUGAUCCUUUAGCUUCAGGAUGUUUAUGAUCCCAAUAAGGCAAGCGUACAACUUCCGCAUCUCCAUUGUUGGCACAUUGUUACAAACACUGAUGCUAAACAUUUGGUUCUUCUUGUACUUGUUCUCCUCCAGAUAAAUGUCAAGAUUAAAAUUGUUUCUAGUAUACCGCAUGGAGCUGUGGCUGGUGAGGCAAAGAAGUUGCAAGCUAAUUGGGUUGUUUUGGACAAGUAAUUUAGAAGCUUCUUCAGAGUCUGAUACCUUUUGUUAACUUAAUUUUAUAAAAUUUUAAUUUGGAUUAUUAUAUUAAUGAAUGAUUUUGUUGUGAUGCGUGUAUAUAUAUAUAAUUGUAUUGAUACAAUUCUAUAUAAUUCUCUUUCUGUC
Long non-coding RNA from Capsicum annuum, 3020 nucleotides. RefSeq lists it as uncharacterized. The record is from RefSeq and is a predicted model, not a curated record. Lineage: Eukaryota; Viridiplantae; Streptophyta; Magnoliopsida; Solanales; Solanaceae. The transcript is spliced from 3 exons.